This 639-nucleotide ribosomal RNA is filed under the name Pseudomonas aeruginosa. RNAcentral describes it as "bacterial SSU rRNA". It matches the Rfam family "Bacterial small subunit ribosomal RNA", at positions 57 to 692 of the family's 1533-position model. The record is from RNAcentral. Lineage: Bacteria; Pseudomonadati; Pseudomonadota; Gammaproteobacteria; Pseudomonadales; Pseudomonadaceae.
GCAGUCGAGCGGAUGAAGGGAGCUUGCUCCUGGAUUCAGCGGCGGACGGGUGAGUAAUGCCUAGGAAUCUGCCUGGUAGUGGGGGAUAACGUCCGGAAACGGGCGCUAAUACCGCAUACGUCCUGAGGGAGAAAGUGGGGGAUCUUCGGACCUCACGCUAUCAGAUGAGCCUAGGUCGGAUUAGCUAGUUGGUGGGGUAAAGGCCUACCAAGGCGACGAUCCGUAACUGGUCUGAGAGGAUGAUCAGUCACACUGGAACUGAGACACGGUCCAGACUCCUACGGGAGGCAGCAGUGGGGAAUAUUGGACAAUGGGCGAAAGCCUGAUCCAGCCAUGCCGCGUGUGUGAAGAAGGUCUUCGGAUUGUAAAGCACUUUAAGUUGGGAGGAAGGGCAGUAAGUUAAUACCUUGCUGUUUUGACGUUACCAACAGAAUAAGCACCGGCUAACUUCGUGCCAGCAGCCGCGGUAAUACGAAGGGUGCAAGCGUUAAUCGGAAUUACUGGGCGUAAAGCGCGCGUAGGUGGUUCAGCAAGUUGGAUGUGAAAUCCCCGGGCUCAACCUGGGAACUGCUUCCAAAACUACUGAGCUAGAGUACGGUAGAGGGUGGUGGAAUUUCCUGUGUAGCGGUGAAAUGCGUA